RNAcentral lists this long non-coding RNA (276 nucleotides) under Capsicum annuum. RNAcentral's name for it is "long non-coding RNA (CANN_LNC013752)". The record is from RNAcentral. Lineage: Eukaryota; Viridiplantae; Streptophyta; Magnoliopsida; Solanales; Solanaceae.
GAGUUAUCAACACUUGUGAGGCCAACAGAGUAAAAAAUGUUAAAGUGUGAAACCGAGGGACUAUGGACUGUUUUGUGUUGAAUUGUGGACUGAUUUUGCUAACCUUUAAUGUGUUUGCUAUUUUUUGUGUUCUUUGUUUAGUAGCUCUUGAUAGGUACAAUGGCGAAUGAAACUGAAAUGCCUAGUUGGGUUAAAUCCAUCAUGGCAAAGCUUGAUGCUAUAGAUAGUCAAAUAAUGGACAGAAUGGAAGAAAGAUUAGAAGGGAUGGAAGACUCU